UGGAACCAUUUAAAGAUCAGGCAACCUCCAUUUUCAUCCCUUUUUCUAGAGAUAGGUGCCUCAGUGAUGUUCUCCUGUGCCUGACCAUGCUAUGCUCAUGGUGAAAGAGCAGGGCAAAGAGACAGCACUGAUGUAGGUAUAGGAGAGAUGUCCGUUAUGACUCCCCACUUGGUGCUCUCCGUCUCCCUGUGCUGGGCUGCAGAAGCUGCAUGUCUACCAUGGCUCACAUAAAGAGGUGCCUCCUUUGCCAAGCUGCCAAAGAGAAUCAUCAUCUUGACUCUUGGGAGGUGGAUUUGUUUUGCUCCUGAAGGCCAGCAGCUAUCAGGUAUCCAGUAAAAUAUUGCCUGCCUUGAGGCCAAGCAGUAAUUUCUGUUGAAGCAUACACCCAUCCACUUAUCUUUGACAGGUAAUUCUUUUAGCCUGUAUUUAAUUCACUUUGUGUGCUGUGUUGAUUUUGUACUGAACCGGCUUCUUGUGGAAUACUAAGUCAAAUAUUUUACACAAGCUUAAAUCAACACUAUUUCCUUUAUUAAGCAUAAUUGUAAUCUCAUUUAAAAAAAAACAGCUAGUUUUAGAAGAUCUAUUCCUUAUCAGCCCCCAUUGAUGGGCAUUAAUGAUAUUAUCCCUUCCUAUUUUUUCAAUCUCUGAAGUUGUUUCUCAUUGUCUGGGAUGCAUUAUCUCCCCAUGAUCAAAGCUCAGCAGGCCUGUCUAUAUCCCAGUCCUUCCACUUCCCCUGAAAUAGCAGCUUUCCUUCUGCUGUAAUUUUGCCUGUACUCUAUGAGCUCUGCAAAACCAGCAUUAGCGACCCAGAAAACCCAGUAAGUUCUCUUCAAAGCACUUCUAUGCAAAUCAUUUCAACUGCUGAUUUGAAGAUGCUUAGCUCUUGUAACAAUUGCAUGCUACCCCCUGAACUUCUGUUAUGCAAAUUGUUGUAUCAUCAUCAUCUGAUGGGAAUGCAUCAUUUGUGGUUGUUUUUCUCCCCACAUUCAGAACAGGAAUACUUGUUCAUUGAAAACAUUUGCCUUUCUGCAUAAUUAUUGCCAUUUCUAUAAUUUCAAUUUGGUCACAGUCCAAAGACAUUGUUUGGCUUCGCUUCAUCCCUAAUAUAUUUUAAAGACUUUUUCGUACUGCUCUUUUCUCUGGAGCUGCAGCCUGUCUCUUGUAUUAUUUUCCUCCCCUUAUCUAAUUUAUCCAGUUUCUAAUUUCCAAAUUACACUAAUUGCAACUUUACCCUUUUCUGUUUGUUUUCUGUGUGGAUGCAAACAUUGCUCCUUUCAUUGUUUCUCUGUGACAUGUUUGAUUUCUGUAACCAACUUGGGGAUCCUUUGCCAGAAGUGGGACUGGGGCUUUCAGAGGCUUUGGUUGCAGGAGCCUACAGAGGUAUUUCUGGGUUCUGUUUCACAGUUUGCCCUGGUAGAGAAGUGUUUUGCAUUAUAAAACUGGCUUUUCCAAUGUACCAAAUGGAUGUGUGACCAGCUGAGGUUUCUUUCCAGCUUUCCAUGAGUUAUGAUGAACACUCGAGCUUUUCCUCCUGGAGGAAUGGCUAUAGCUCUGUCCUGGAGUUAAUUCCUCUCUGCCUGAGAGCAAAUACUGCUCUGUUGGAUGCCACUUGUCUUUGCAUUAGCUGAAAUAAACUCUAGAGCUCCAGUGGGUGCUGACAGGUACACAGAGAUGCCUGUUUUCUGACAGCCCUCUCCAAACACUUUCUCAUGCUUUCAUCUCAAGUUUCUACUCCUCUGUCAAAGGAAUACAUUUGAUGGGCUGGGAGAAUAAGUACACUCGCAGGAGAAGCAGCUAUUGCUCUAAAGACGGUGCUCCAAAAAUGCAGUUCCUCAUUGCUGGGAUCGUUGGGCUAGGGCUUUCUCACCUUGGCUUUUCUGCAUGGGGCUAACUUGUCAAUUGAUGAGCGUUUUCUGCUGGUCAGGCAGCAUGUAUUCUCAGUUGUUUGUGCUUCUGCCUUCAGGUAACAGACCUACAUUACUAGAGGUCAUCCUAUGGCCAAUUUUAAGGACGUGUCUGGCCCAGCUGCUGCUGUCAGAGCCAUGCAAUGCUCUUAGUGGUAGGAUUUUGAAAGAGGAAGGAAGGUUGACAGGAAGCUCUUAAUUUAGGUGACAAUUUGGAGGCGUGUUGUCUACCUUCAGGAAGAGUGGUCACCUCUCUGGUGGCUCUGCUAAAAACUUUGUGAGAUGAGCAAGGAAACCUGGCAGCCCAGCCAGCAUUCAGAUGGCUGCCCUGGGGCUGCUGCCUUCCCUGGACCACCUAGACCUGGGGCUGGGUUUGCAAGGGCUGGCGUCUGUUGUCCUGAGUAUCUCUUCUCCGUGAUGCUGCAUCUCCUCUUGAGUCUCAGCCAGACUCUAGGGGCUUGUACCCAACACUUGUGCCAGCCUUGAGGGAACUCCCCUUUUAAUCACCUCCCCACGUACAGGCACUGCAGGUUUUCUGUGCACUGCUCUAACAAUGAGCUCCCAGUGAAAACCUCUGCUCAUCUGGAUAGCUGUGUAUUGGUCACACUCCCUGCUGGUGACUUCAGCAGAAGAUGAAGGCCAGCAAACCAUGCAGGCAGCACCCUCCUCUCUGAUGGAGAUGCUUUUCUUUGCUGUUUGCUCAGAUUGUUUAAAACAAAUUGCAUUAAUUUCUUUCAUGCUUCACAGUCUGAUUUUUUUUUUUUUUUUUUUGCCAGAAAAAAAACCACAUUAGGUUAUGAAUAAAUGGAGAAUAACAUAUUAUAUCCCUGAGAAAUUUUAGUCUUCCAUGACAUUGCUACCCACUUUGAUAACUACUUGUUCCACACAGGAGCCAAGUAAGUAGUUUUCCUCUAAUUUAUGUCACUAGGUUGUAAUUACUUUCUAGUAAUAGCUUUGUGUGAUGCUCUGUAUAAAUGCAAAACAUAAAAACAGUCCCUAGGAACUUGCAGUUUGAAUGACAUAGAAAAUGGUGCCAUAUUAACAAAUGGAGGAUCAUGCUGGGCCUUUUCUAUCCAUAGCUGGCCAUCAGAUCAGGCUGGUAUUGGGUAAAGUACAGUCACUCCACAAGCAUCAACUCUGAUUUCUCACAUUAAAAUUAUCAUAUUAAGCAAAAACCACAACCAGAGUCUGUGCUAAGUUUCCUUAAGUGUUAAAUACAAAAAAGCAUUCUACUAAAGCAAGGCCUCACAAGCAUCUUCCUCGUCUUGUAUGCCAGCCCAUGAAUUUCCCAACCACUGAGCUUCUCCACAAUGUUGCUCUUCUCUCUUUACGCCAAAACCUCUCAUGUGGUCAACCAUAUCUCACUCUGCAGCCAGCAGUGUUGAGUGUGCUCUCUGCAGUGACCAACUGGCAGGUGAAGGGAUGCUCACAGUAUCCAGGGGCAGGGAAAAAGCCACAUUUCCAAAACACAUGGCACUGUGUGCAUCUGCAGCACCAAGGUCCUUUGAAACAGCCUCUUGUAGCAAGACAUCUGUUGGACAUUUUGCAUUCUCAGGAUAUCAGGAUCUAAAAUCUACAGAGAAGAAUUAACUGAACAGCAUCUCCAGGAGCCCACUCACACCGAUGACCUCUGCAUACACAGCAAAAUUGAUUAAAUGUACACUUACUUGCCUGCAGCUUCAGCAGGGCCAGUAGGUCAAUCACAUUAAUAUCAGAUACUCUGGUUUAUUGGAGAUUUCCUGUGGAAAUGAAUGUCAGCAUGGUUGAAUCCAGAAAUGUAAAGAUUCUCGGGAAAAGUCAAACAUAAAUGGAUCGUAUCUUGCAGUUUGACAAAGCUUUUUCCAUUGAUAUUUCUCCCUAGGCACUUCAAGCUAUGGAUGCAAUAUAGGAUGUGCUCUGUGGUUAGAAGAGAUGUCUUGUCAGAUGAAGUGUCCUAGCACAAUGCAGAAGCGAGUGAAAUGUGGUGGCUUUUGGGAUGCAGUAGAUCUUCCAUGACAUUGGAGAUGUUAUUAUCAACACCUCCAUCUCUAUUAGUGGCCUUUCAUAGGUAAGGAGACAAAUCAAGAUUGCUGAGGCAGGAGCUAUCGGACACAUUUAAGUUUCCUAUCAUAAAAGGAGAUUGACCGUAGCCUGGAAGUACAUGUUAUGCUGUGACUGCAGAAGAUGGUCCUUGUUUGCAAGAAGCCAGCAGUUUUGGAGGCUCAGAGGGCGCUUGCAGCAGAGCUAAUGGGAUGGCCAUGGCCCAUCAGCCUUUCCACUCUUUCCUCUUUUGCAGACUCCUGUUCGCAGUUCAGUCUCCUGCUUCCUCCAUUGCUUCCCUGCACUGAAACAGCCUUUGUGCUGUGAUCAGCAUCACAGCAGUUUUAACAUCGUGGCCACGUGGGCUGGAGACAGGGAAACAACAGAGCUUGGGAAUUUCUUCUGCUCUGCUUUAUUGCCUCAAAACAGGCCACAGGCUGUAAUAUCUGCCUUCAGGAGAUAUUAAAGUUUACAGCACAGUAUAUUAGCAAACUACCAA
Pezoporus occidentalis (night parrot) is the source of this 4422-nucleotide long non-coding RNA. RefSeq lists it as uncharacterized. The record is from RefSeq and is a predicted model, not a curated record. Lineage: Eukaryota; Metazoa; Chordata; Aves; Psittaciformes; Psittacidae. The transcript has 2 exons.